Molecule: ribosomal RNA, 432 nt
Filed under: uncultured bacterium
Lineage: Bacteria
Description: bacterial SSU rRNA
Rfam family: Bacterial small subunit ribosomal RNA
Source: RNAcentral
UGAACGCUGGCGGUAUGCCUUACACAUGCAAGUCGUACGAGAGUUUUUAACUCUAGUGGCGGACGGGUGAGUAACACGUAAGAAUUUGCCUUUAGGAGGGGGACAACAGCUGGAAACGGCUGCUAAUACCCCAUAUGCUUUCGAGUGAAACGGAUUUCCGCCUAAAGAGAAGCUUGCGGCUGAUUAGCUUGUUGGUGAGGUAAUGGCUCACCAAGGCGACGAUCAGUAUCUGGUUUGAGAGGAUGAUCAGACACACUGGAACUGAGACACGGUCCAGACUCCUACGGGAGGCAGCAGUGGGGAAUUUUCCGCAAUGGGCGAAAGCCUGACGGAGCAAUACCGCGUGAGGGAUGACGGCCUAUGGGUUGUAAACCUCUUUUUUCAGGGAGGAAUCAAUGACGUGUACCUGAAGAAUAAGCAUCGGCUAACUCC